UCCCUCCAGGAAGGAAUCAUGCUUUGUUUCCCUGUGUUGGCUCCAUCUGUUCAGUCAAACAAUGCAAAGCUGAGCAUCCUCCAGCAUGACACGCUCUCCCUCGAUUCCCAUUUCCCAAUGUUGCAGGGAAACUGAGUGGUCAACCCUCUUCCCCAAGUGGUGGGUUUCGGAUAUGAAUCCUGGCCAUCCCUCAUUCGUCAACUCCUCCUGGGCCCAUUCAUUCACUGCAAGGGCGUCUCUUCAGCCGUCCAUGAUUUCUCACACCCAGCUGGGAGAGGAACAUCCAGCAGGCCCACGGACUGGAGGAGGCAUCCAAGGCCACCCUGAGGCUCUGCACAUCUUGUGAUCUAGAUGUUCAUCUGAAGAUUUCCUCCCCACCCACCCAAAUUGGUUGAAAUGAGUUCAGAUCACCAGGACCAGAUAGAUUACAUCAAAUGUGACCUCACCACCAUUGAACUAUAUCUUUCAAAGAUCCUGGAGCAAUGGGGAACUACCAGAUGACUUUUUCCCUUCAAAAAAGGAAAAAUAUGGAUGUGGACCUAUCAGCCUGAUAUCAGUACAGGUGCAGCAGCUGUGGCUGAUGGUGACGGUGACGGUGGAAGAGUCCUAUCUCGUGUCUUUCCCUUCCUUCCUGGGACCAGCAGCAGAGCCCUCCUGACCUUCAGUGGAAACUAAUUUGGACCACUUGUGCUGGCUUCCAGAUGCAUUGCAGUUCCCUUCCCAUCAUCCCCAGCCAGGAGAAGCAUCAGCAUCUGGAGGUAUCCUGGGAAAAGUGAACAGGCUCAAAUUUUCUUGCAGCCAAAAUGAAAGAUGCUAAUAAGGGGCAAAGGGGAUGAUGGUCAUCUGACAUUUUUGAAGAUACGAACCAGAUCAGCCCUUUUCCAGUCCUCUGGUGGGUCCCCUGUUCUACAGCAUUACAUUCAGCGACUCCAAGAUCACAUCUGCUGCUUUUUCAGAACACGGAUUUGUAUUCAGCCAGGACUGAAGUUAUUCCUUCCAUCUUGCCUAUUUUAACUUGUGUACCUAUUUUAUUUUUAUUUUAUUUUUUAUUUUAUUUUAUUUGUGCAUAAGAGCACAAAAUGUGCCUACUGUUCCUGUCCUAUGGAUUCCUUUCAUCAUAUCCAAUUAAUAUAGUUAUUACAUACUUAUGCUCAUUUAUAUGCUUAUAUAUUAUAUAGUUAUUUUCAUGCUUAUGCUUAUAUAUA
Ahaetulla prasina is the source of this 1205-nucleotide long non-coding RNA. RefSeq lists it as uncharacterized. The transcript is spliced from 5 exons. The record is from RefSeq and is a predicted model, not a curated record. Lineage: Eukaryota; Metazoa; Chordata; Lepidosauria; Squamata; Colubridae.